UGAUCACCAGCUUCAGGUAUCUUCUGUCUGU
Molecule: non-coding RNA, 31 nt
Filed under: Homo sapiens (human)
Lineage: Eukaryota; Metazoa; Chordata; Mammalia; Primates; Hominidae
Source: RNAcentral